ACUCAAAUGAAUUGACGGGGGCCCGCACAAGCGGUGGAGCAUGUGGUUUAAUUCGACGCAACGCGCAGAACCUUACCCAGACUUGACAUCCUUGGAAUCCUGCAGAGAUGCGGGAGUGCUCGCAAGAGAGCCAGGAGACAGGUGCUGCAUGGCUGUCGUCAGCUCGUGUCGUGAGAUGUUGGGUUAAGUCCCGCAACGAGCGCAACCCUCGCCUUUAGUUGCCAGCAUUCAGUUGGGCACUCUAGAGGGACUGCCGGUGUCAAGCCGGAGGAAGGUGGGGAUGACGUCAAGUCCUCAUGGCCUUUAUGUCUGGGGCUACACACGUGCUACAAUGGCCGGUACAAAGGGCAGCAAAAGCGCGAGCUUGAGCCAAUCCCAGAAAACCGGUCCCAGUUCGGAUCGAAGUCUGCAACUCGACUUCGUGAAGUCGGAAUCGCUAGUAAUCGCGGAUCAGAACGCCGCGGUGAAUACGUUCCCGGGCCUUGUACACACCGCCCGU
This 499-nucleotide ribosomal RNA is filed under the name uncultured bacterium. RNAcentral's name for it is "partial 16S ribosomal RNA". It matches the Rfam family "Bacterial small subunit ribosomal RNA", at positions 899 to 1397 of the family's 1533-position model. The record is from RNAcentral.